GUUUCAUAUUAUUUAUAAUUUUUGAAAAUAGUAGUAUUUAACCUGUAAAACUAUAGUUUCAUGCCACGUGUCAUCUUUCGGGAGAAUUUUUUUUCGCUGAUGUGGACGCUCUAUGGAGCCUUAAAAGAUCCCUUUUAUUAGUAAGGAUGAGAGAGAGAGGUUAGAUGUAGUUCCAAUUACAAGAGUGAAGAGGUAGAAAAAGGCAAAUGACGACGGAAAUAACAAGCCUGAGGAAUCAAAGACCAAAAAUAUCUUGUCGCCCUUCCGUGUUCUUCUUUCAUGAUUUUGUUGUUCUGUGGAAGAUUGUUGCAGGUACGAUUUCACGCAAAGGGAAUCUCUUUCUUUUUUUGUAUCCGCGUUUGUGUUAUCAGUCUGUGAAAUUUUGAAGAAUUGGGGUUUGGUGGUUGGAGGGUGUUUCAGUUUCAGAGAUGGGGGAAGUUUAAGACUUGAGGCUUGAACACAAUCUCUGGGAAGUAAAAUCGUUUCAAUCGUUUCUUUCAUUUCUGGGUUCUCGUAUCCUGAUUUGGAUUUUCCGUCUGGUUGAUUUUGUGGGGUUGAUGCUUUCAUGCUAGUUAAUUAUGUGAUAUAUAUCUUCUGUGCUUAGGCUUAUGGUCAGGGGGCUUAUUUGUUAUUGUUUUCAGGAAACGUUCUUUCUUGUUAAUUCAAGUUCUAAAUCCGAACUAUUCUCACUUCUGGCAAGGUCUUACGUUGUUUACUUGUUUGCAAGACAGUAUGAGUUCGUUCAAUAAGAAUCCAGUACAGAUAAUGGGCUGCAUUUUGCUUUUGUUACCGUGAUGAUAUGGUAAAUGACGAGCUGCUAACCACAAUGUCUCGUUUAGUCAGGAGCACUUUAUGGAAGCUCGACAGAACAAUACCUGUUUCCAUACUCAUGACUAAAAUUUUGCAGAUAAGUGUUUCCCGUGACGUUUAAAACCACAACCAGGAGCGUCCAAUGACUUCUUCAAAACUCAAUGACCCUACAGUGAAGAACAACAUCUGGAAGGAAAAGACGAGGUUGAUACUCAAGAAACUCAAAGUGAAAGCUAUGACAAUGCUUUUGACCUCUCCUUUCCUGAUAAUGAUUGUCAGAGAAUGAUAGGCUAGCUUUAAUGGUUGCUCAGGAACUCAUUGCUAACUUACAGUUGGAAUUCGGUCAUCGCAUACUUGCCUGGACAUAAGCCUUUCUAAGCAGCUAGACUUAGCUCAACCUCUUGUUCGGUGCCGGUCUCUGGUUACAGCUGCUGAGCACCACUUGGUCUUUGGUACAGAAUUUUCCCAUGUCCUAGAUGCGGCAAUUUCCAUGCGCUUUGAGAUGCACUCAGUUAAAUGUGACAAACCUUACUUUACUGCAAAGUGCCACUGCUGUGGAUUCAAUAUGCCAAGCUUCCUGAUGUGCCAACCUUUACAAUAAAGAAGACUAUUCACGGGUGUCAUACAUUGGUAUCUUGCACCUUGGUCACUAUCAAGCUCCAGUGGAAUAGGUUGCUGAGGCUGUGAGAGAAAGGCUGAAACAAAAUCCAUAUUGCAAACCUAAGGAGAUAGUGGAGAAAAUUCACCAAGAUCAUGGAAUUACACUAUCAUACAAGCAAGCAUGGACGCGAGGGGAGGAUGUAUAAUGGAUGCUGUUGGCGGGUCAUUCGAAAAAUAUGCUUUCUUCUUUCUUUCUUUUUUGAAUAAAUGUUAAAUGUUAUUCAAAGCAAAACCUUUUUACAUCAAGUGCUUCUAUUUUUGGUGUAGUAUUUAACUUCUAGAAAAUCCUAUAAGGCAAAAAAUCUUUAUGGUUCUGACUCUCUAGUCCCAAACCAUGUGCUCAAGCUUUCUUCAAGACUUGCAGGCUUUGUUUGCUCUCCAUGCCUACGCCCAUUUCUUUCUCUCCAUAAAGCAUGGACCGUGGCUUGGAAUGCAUAUCGAAGUAGGAAUUGCUCUGUUGAUGGCAGUCUAUUAUUUGAUACCAUCGUCACAAUGUCGUUCCAGUCCGUGGUGAAAGCCCUUUGCAGGAUACCUCCCACUAGCACCUGUCAUAUCUGUUUGGAAUAAUUGCAGUUGAAGAAGAGGUGACUGCAAGUUUCAUCAGCUUCAUUACAGAGUACACAUGUUGGAUCAAAAUAUGCUUUCUUCCUAGAUAUUGUGAUGGAAUUAGAAGAAUUCAACCCUUACCAUGGAUUCCUGGUUGAUGGGAGCUUUCAACAGUUAUUUAUAUAUUUCCAUGUAUAAAUCUGUGGAUAUCUGAAUUGCAACAAUUAUUUUUAUAUUUCCUUUGGCCUUUGC
Molecule: long non-coding RNA, 2268 nt
Organism: Brassica rapa (field mustard)
Lineage: Eukaryota; Viridiplantae; Streptophyta; Magnoliopsida; Brassicales; Brassicaceae
Source: RefSeq, a predicted model, not a curated record